This 410-nucleotide ribosomal RNA is filed under the name Staphylococcus aureus. RNAcentral's name for it is "partial 23S ribosomal RNA". It matches the Rfam family "Bacterial large subunit ribosomal RNA", at positions 444 to 857 of the family's 2925-position model. The record is from RNAcentral. Lineage: Bacteria; Bacillati; Bacillota; Bacilli; Caryophanales; Staphylococcaceae.
CUGGGAGGACCAUCUCCUAAGGCUAAAUACUCUCUAGUGACCGAUAGUGAACCAGUACCGUGAGGGAAAGGUGAAAAGCACCCCGGAAGGGGAGUGAAAUAGAACCUGAAACCGUGUGCUUACAAGUAGUCAGAGCCCGUUAAUGGGUGAUGGCGUGCCUUUUGUAGAAUGAACCGGCGAGUUACGAUUUGAUGCAAGGUUAAGCAGUAAAUGUGGAGCCGUAGCGAAAGCGAGUCUGAAUAGGGCGUUUAGUAUUUGGUCGUAGACCCGAAACCAGGUGAUCUACCCUUGGUCAGGUUGAAGUUCAGGUAACACUGAAUGGAGGACCGAACCGACUUACGUUGAAAAGUGAGCGGAUGAACUGAGGGUAGCGGAGAAAUUCCAAUCGAACCUGGAGAUAGCUGGUUCUC